UACGGAGGGUGCAAGCGUUAUCCGGAUUCACUGGGUUUAAAGGGUGCGUAGGUGGCUUUGUAAGUCAGUGGUGAAAGCCCGGAGCUCAACUCCGGAACUGCCAUUGAUACUGCUUAGCUUGAAUCAAGUAGAGGUGGAUGGAAUAAUACAUGUAGCGGUGAAAUGCUUAGAUAUGUAUUAGAACACCGAUUGCGAAGGCAGUUCACUAUGCUUGUAUUGACACUGAGGCACGAAAGCGUGGGGAUCAAACAGG
This 253-nucleotide ribosomal RNA is filed under the name uncultured bacterium. RNAcentral describes it as "partial 16S ribosomal RNA". It matches the Rfam family "Bacterial small subunit ribosomal RNA", at positions 524 to 776 of the family's 1533-position model. The record is from RNAcentral.